Molecule: ribosomal RNA, 708 nt
Filed under: uncultured beta proteobacterium
Lineage: Bacteria; Pseudomonadati; Pseudomonadota; Betaproteobacteria
Description: bacterial SSU rRNA
Rfam family: Bacterial small subunit ribosomal RNA
Source: RNAcentral
UGCAAGUCGAACGGCAGCACGGGAGCAAUCCUGGUGGCGAGUGGCGAACGGGUGAGUAAUAUAUCGGAACGUGCCCAGUCGUGGGGGAUAACGCAGCGAAAGCUGUGCUAAUACCGCAUACGAUCUAUGGAUGAAAGCGGGGGAUCGCAAGACCUCGCGCGAUUGGAGCGGCCGAUAUCAGAUUAGCUAGUUGGCGGGGUAAAGGCCCACCAAGGCGACGAUCUGUAGCUGGUCUGAGAGGACGACCAGCCACACUGGAACUGAGACACGGUCCAGACUCCUACGGGAGGCAGCAGUGGGGAAUUUUGGACAAUGGGCGAAAGCCUGAUCCAGCAAUGCCGCGUGCAGGAUGAAGGCCUUCGGGUUGUAAACUGCUUUUGUACGGAACGAAACGGUCUACCCUAAUACGGUGGGCUAAUGACGGUACCGUAAGAAUAAGCACCGGCUAACUACGUGCCAGCAGCCGCGGUAAUACGUAGGGUGCGAGCGUUAAUCGGAAUUACUGGGCGUAAAGCGUGCGCAGGCGGUUAUAUAAGACAGAUGUGAAAUCCCCGGGCUCAACCUGGGACCUGCAUUUGUGACUGUAUAGCUAGAGUACGGUAGAGGGGGAUGGAAUUCCGCGUGUAGCAGUGAAAUGCGUAGAUAUGCGGAGGAACACCGAUGGCGAAGGCAAUCCCCUGGACCUGUACUGACGCUCAUGCACGAAAG